CAUGAAGCCGGAAUCGCUAGUAAUCGCGGAUCAGAAUGCCGCGGUGAAUACGUUCCCGGGUCUUGUACACACCGCCCGUCACACCAUGGGAGUCGGAAAUGCCCGAAGUCUGUGACCCAACCUGAGAGGGAGGGAGCAGCCGAAGGCAGGUCUGAUGACUGGGGUGAAGUCGUAACAAGGUAAC
This 184-nucleotide ribosomal RNA is filed under the name uncultured bacterium. RNAcentral's name for it is "partial 16S ribosomal RNA". It matches the Rfam family "Bacterial small subunit ribosomal RNA", at positions 1319 to 1500 of the family's 1533-position model. The record is from RNAcentral.